This 1809-nucleotide long non-coding RNA is filed under the name Coturnix japonica (Japanese quail). RNAcentral describes it as "lncRNA (ENSCJPG00005016979.1)". The record is from RNAcentral. Lineage: Eukaryota; Metazoa; Chordata; Aves; Galliformes; Phasianidae.
UUGCAAUCAUAAGCAGAGGUACUGUGGCACAGUGACACCCACCAUUCACCCUCCUAGAUAAUUAGCAGUUGUCAGUCAGAGUCUUAUCAUCAGAAAGGCCUCAGGAAGCAAGCUUUGAGACAAAAAAAGAAAAACAGUUUUGUCUUUCACUAUGGCUGGCCGUGCCAGUAGGUUCAGGCCUGCGCCAACUGCCCCUUGUUCUUUUGUGCAGGGAAUGAUCUCUCUUCUCAGCCAUGCUGCUGAGAGCUCAUGCCACACGCAGUGCUCUCAUCCUUGCCCAUGGCAGCUUAGCACUGCGAGCCUCCAAGGAACAACUGCUCACCCACCUGGAGGGAGACAUUGUGGGCAACAUCCUGCUGCUUUACAGCUGCAGCUGCCAGGACUUGCAGAACAAGCUCGCGCUGGUGCAGAGCAUCACCGACUUCAGCUCUGCCUUCCAUGCUGUGGGUGACUCUGCCUGCUUUAACCCCUCCUUGAAGGGCAAGCUGCUGGAGAUCCUGAUGGUGAGUCAGGGCUGUCUGCAGUGGAGUUUCGGGCUGAGGCUUGCUUCCCUGGAGGCAUACAGGUCUCCCUCAGCCACAUGACUCCAGCUGGUGGGGACCUUGGGUGCUGGCAGGCAGAGGCUGGGCAGCAGUCUAGGUCCACCAGCUGUGGAGCUGCUGCAUCCUGCAGUGCUUCCGUAGGAAAUGUGGGAGUGAUGGGGCUGGUGUGUGGCAGCUGUGUCUGUCUCUGGGCUGGACAGAAGAGCUCUCAUGUGCUCCUUGCACACUUUGACAGUGUCUCUCUGGUACUUGCAGGACUUGCUGCAGGACCCUGCCCCUGGCAGGCCACAGCCAAGGAAAAGCUCCUGGGUUAGGAGGCAGGAGUGUCUGCAGAGAGUGGGUGCAGCAGCACAGCAGUGCUGGUGCUCAGUGAGGCACAGGGCUGUGUGAAGCCACAGGAGGAGCCAUGUGGAGGCACAGGGCAGGCCUGAGGGAAAGUGUUGGGAAAGGAGGGACAGAGGUGGGAGAGGGCAGGAAAGGAAAGGAUGUCCACAGUGAGACAGACGCUCUGCUCCAGAUCCUGCAGAUAGCAAUGACCUCAGACAAUGUGUGGCAGCGCAAGAGGGCCCUGCAGACCUGCUCCCAGCUGCUUGUGAAAAGCUUCAAGUGAGUAAAGAGCCUAACCCAGCUUUUUUUGUGCCUCUUGCCCCAGAAGAGAGGAAAUGCCUGCAAGCACUUUGGCUCCUUGGUGGGAUUGCUGGCCCUUCUGAUGUGUGACCUCAUGCCCACAUCCCACCAGCUGGCUGUCACUAUGCAUUUUUACUAGCAAUGAACAAGAGUUUUCAUACCAUACUGCACUUGUAAUAAUCUGUACCAAUGGAACUGACCUACUGUCGCUAUUGCCUCUGCCCACAAAGCACAGCUGUGUGUUCUUUGUGCUAGGGGCUGACCUGCAGGAGAGGAGCUCUGCAGAGAAGGACCUGGGUGUUCUAGUGGACAGCAGGUUGGCUGUGAGCCAGCAGUGUGCCCUUGUGGCCAAGAAGGCCAAUGGUAUCCUGGGGUGCAUUAAAAAGUGUGGUGGGCAGCUUGAGGGGGUGAUCCAGGACACUUUCCUGCUCAAACUCCUGUUGGAAACUCCUUUUAUCAGGGAGGUUGGUCUCAAUAAUCUCCGGAGGUCCCUUCUAUAGGUGAUUGAAUGAGAAAGAAACUGCAAGUACCAUGUGCUAAUUACACUGGAUGGAUCUGGCAGAUCAGAUCAAAGAAAGACUUGACACAAUUCCAAUAUCAUUAAAAUAAAUAAAUAAAAAGAUAGAUAGUGGGAGCUUAA